This 177-nucleotide non-coding RNA is filed under the name Pseudomonas mangrovi. Its description in RNAcentral is "6S / SsrS RNA". It matches the Rfam family "6S / SsrS RNA". Rfam says of the family: E. coli 6S RNA was the first non coding RNA to be sequenced, but its function was unknown until recently. It consists of 184 nucleotides that fold into an extended hairpin structure with a large single-stranded internal bulge. The 6S RNA specifically associates with RNA polymerase holoenzyme containing the sigma70 specificity factor. The record is from Rfam by way of RNAcentral. Lineage: Bacteria; Pseudomonadati; Pseudomonadota; Gammaproteobacteria; Pseudomonadales; Pseudomonadaceae.
CGCUCCCUGGGUUGUGCGCCAGUUGGUCACGUCCCUCUCCCGAUACGCAAAACCUGGAGGCUGUACGUGUGACCCGUGUGCAUGUCCGCCCGACGGAAAGCCUUACGGUCACCUACAGUCGCCACCUUGAACUUUCGGGUUCAAGGGUCAAGCCGACAGCGGCACUCCGGGGGGUCU